RNAcentral lists this ribosomal RNA (533 nucleotides) under uncultured bacterium. RNAcentral describes it as "partial 16S ribosomal RNA". It matches the Rfam family "Bacterial small subunit ribosomal RNA", at positions 355 to 898 of the family's 1533-position model. The record is from RNAcentral.
UGGGGAAUAUUGCACAAUGGGCGAAAGCCUGAUGCAGCGACGCCGCGUGCGGGAUGAAGGCCUUCGGGUUGUAAACCGCCUUUGAUUGAGAGCAAGCGAGAGUGAGUGUACCUUUCGAAUAAGCACCGGCUAACUACGUGCCAGCAGCCGCGGUAAUACGUAGGGUGCAAGCGUUAUCCGGAAUUAUUGGGCGUAAAGAGCUCGUAGGCGGUUUGUCGCGUCUGGUGUGAAAAUCCAUCGCUUAACGGUGGAUCUGCGCCGGGUACGGGCAGGCUAGAGUGCGACAGGGGAGACUGGAAUUCCCGGUGUAACGGUGGAAUGUGUAGAUAUCGGGAAGAACACCAAUGGCGAAGGCAGGUCUCUGGGUCGUCACUGACGCUGAGGAGCGAAAGCGUGGGGAGCGAACAGGAUUAGAUACCCUGGUAGUCCACGCCGUAAACGGUGGAUGCUGGAUGUGGGGCCCAUUCCACGGGUUCCGUGUCGGAGCUAACGCGUUAAGCAUCCCGCCUGGGGAGUACGGCCGCAAGGCUAAA